AGGACGAACGCUGGCGGCGUGCUUAACACAUGCAAGUCGAACGGUGAACCACCUUCGGGUGGGGAUCAGUGGCGAACGGGUGAGUAACACGUGACCAACUUGCCCCUAACUCUGGGAUAACCCCGGGAAACCGGAGCUAAUACCGGAUACGAGACCGAGUGGCAUCACUCGGCCUGGAAAGUUUUUCGGUUAGGGAUGGGGUCGCGGCCUAUCAGCUUGUUGGUGGGGUAAUGGCCUACCAAGGCGACGACGGGUAG
RNAcentral lists this ribosomal RNA (257 nucleotides) under uncultured soil bacterium. RNAcentral's name for it is "partial 16S ribosomal RNA". It matches the Rfam family "Bacterial small subunit ribosomal RNA", at positions 26 to 286 of the family's 1533-position model. The record is from RNAcentral.